Molecule: non-coding RNA, 47 nt
Organism: Aedes aegypti (yellow fever mosquito)
Lineage: Eukaryota; Metazoa; Arthropoda; Insecta; Diptera; Culicidae
Source: Rfam
CAAUCGGCCCUUUUCAGGACCAACAAAUGUGUUCUAAAGAGUUAUAU